Molecule: long non-coding RNA, 1585 nt
Filed under: Diabrotica virgifera virgifera (western corn rootworm)
Lineage: Eukaryota; Metazoa; Arthropoda; Insecta; Coleoptera; Chrysomelidae
Description: uncharacterized LOC126883514
Source: RNAcentral
GACGUUCCGCCCCUUAUAGAAUCGAUUAUUGAUGGGAAGAUAUUAUUUAACUAUCCAAAAUAUUAUUUAAUUAUUUUCAGAAUUAUUUUCUUUCAAUGUUUAUUCAAAUAGAACUUAAACCCAUCUCAGAAUUUUUAAAUGCUUGAUGACGUCACAUUUAAAACGUGGCAACAUUGGUUUCCCCACUUUGACAGCCAAUGCUUAGUAGAGGGGUACGAAGGAUUCAGCUGUGAACGUGAGCCUUGGAUUGCGAUUGUUUCUCGAGUGUUCGGUCUGAAUCGUAGUGUGCGGGGUCAUUAGACUCAAUUAUUCACCUCUAAUUCUCAGUUCCAAAUUGAUUAAAUAUUACAAUAAAAGUAUAGUGAAGUUAUCCAGCAGCAGUGGAUUUGAAGAAUUUUAGAGCAUACUAUAUCCAAUGAGUUCUACCCCGCACCUACCAUGAAAUCUUAAAGCCACCCUACAACAACACCAAGGCCAGACCACACAGAGAGAAACAAUCAAUAGGCGACCAGCCUGGAUUAUUUCCACAUUUUUUUUUUUUUGAGUACCUCCAGCUGCUUUCCAACAGUUUUGAGUACCUUCAGCUGCUUUCUACCAGUCUUCCUCUCCUGUACCUCCAGCAGGACAGCUGCUAGCGAGAGUUAGCACCCUUGGGUGCUCAUUACAUCAACUUCAAGAUUAGGAAAGAGUGGUUUGUUUGGGAACAUUUACUGUGCUCUUAUUAAAGACAGACUGGUUUUGUGAUAUUUAGUACAUUUUUUUUUAUAGUUCAAUUGCACACACAUUUUUCCUGCUUUAUAUUUUUUAUAGGUUUUUUUUUUCUCUUUACAACAUAAUAUUUAAUUGAUAGCGUUCCCCAACACUCUGCAAUCUAUAAAGGUAUAAAUUUCUGAGCUCAGAUAUUUUCCCUGAUAAUAGUAGUCGGUACUCUUAUCUUGAUUAUUUUUAGGCUGUGUUCCACUUUUGUAUAAUUAUUUAAACUCAUUCCAUUAUUUUAGUAUAUGUUUAAUUAAAUUUUUAAAAAUUAACUUCACAUAUUAGUCAAAAUUGUAAUUAUUAACUUUAUUUAACUUGAACUUAUUAACUUUAUUUAACUUUAACUUUAAUUUAUUAAAUUCAUAUGAACUUCUGGAUUCUAAUCCCUCAGAUUAGUUUUUGGUUUCACUUGUUAUUAUUACUAUUAUAAACCACGAGUUAGGAAAAGGAUCUGUGUAUCCACUCGUAGGUUUAUUUAUUCAAUAAGGCUUGUGCCUGUCCCACUCACAGUGAGGUAUUUAUAUGUUAUAUAUAGUAUCAGGUAGUAUUUAAUUAAGGUGUACGUAUUAUAAACGUACAAUUAUUAUUUGGUGAGGGUUCUACUAACCUAGUUGUAAGUUGUACUUCCUGUAUUAGAGGUACCCGUAGUCAGUUUUCUAACCUUAUAAAGAGUAUUCUUAGCUCAUAGUUGUAUGAUGAUUUUGUAAUUGACUUUCACUAGUAUCACUUUUUCCUGUCAUGUUAGAGUUACACACUAGUUACUUGUCCUAACUCAGAGAUUGUUAAAAAGAUCUAGUAGUUACAUUCAAUAAAUAUACAUUUAUUGUGA